This 764-nucleotide ribosomal RNA is filed under the name uncultured bacterium. Its description in RNAcentral is "bacterial SSU rRNA". It matches the Rfam family "Bacterial small subunit ribosomal RNA", at positions 59 to 806 of the family's 1533-position model. The record is from RNAcentral.
CAGUCGAGGGGCAGCGGGGCGGCAGGCUUGCCUGCCGCCGCCGGCGACCGGCGCACGGGUGAGUAACACGUAUGCAACCUGCCCGUGGCAGGGGGAUAAGCGGGGGAAACCCCGUCUAAUACCGCGUAACGCGGCCUUGGGGCAUCCCCUGGCCGCCAAAGGGAGCAAUCCCGGCCACGGAUGGGCAUGCGGCGCAUUAGCUAGUCGGCGGGGUAACGGCCCACCGAGGCGACGAUGCGUAGGGGUUCUGAGAGGAAGGCCCCCCACACUGGUACUGAGACACGGACCAGACUCCUACGGGAGGCAGCAGUGAGGAAUAUUGGUCAAUGGGCGCGAGCCUGAACCAGCCAAGUCGCGUGAGGGAGGACGGCCCUACGGGUUGUAAACCUCUUUUGCCGGGGAGCAACGGGCGUCACGUGUGGCGCCACUGAGAGUACCCGGAGAAAAAGCAUCGGCUAACUCCGUGCCAGCAGCCGCGGUAAUACGGAGGAUGCGAGCGUUAUCCGGAUUUAUUGGGUUUAAAGGGUGCGUAGGCGGAUCGUUAAGUCAGUGGUCAAAUUGAGGGGCUCAACCCCUUCCCGCCAUUGAAACUGGCGUUCUUGAGUGGAAGAGAAGUAUGCGGAAUGCGUGGUGUAGCGGUGAAAUGCAUAGAUAUCACGCAGAACCCCGAUUGCGAAGGCAGCAUGCCGGCUUCCGACUGACGCUGAAGCACGAAAGCGUGNGGAUCGAACAGGAUUAGAUACCCNGGUAGUCCACGCGGUAAA